Carassius auratus (goldfish) is the source of this 2233-nucleotide long non-coding RNA. RefSeq lists it as uncharacterized. NCBI's taxonomy places the organism in Eukaryota, Metazoa, Chordata, Actinopteri, Cypriniformes, Cyprinidae. The record is from RefSeq and is a predicted model, not a curated record. The transcript has 3 exons.
GUAUGUCUCGAUGACAUUAAAUACCAUAAAUUGCUGGUACAUGGCAGACAUAAAGUUUGGUCUUGGAACAAGACCUUUGUUGAUUUAUCUAGUAAAGGCAAAAUUGAAGGUUCAAGAUUGCAAGUUGAUAACAUGACUUAUCAACAACAGCUGGGAUCAGGCGUCGAUUAUCUAUGGUCAUAACGUAUUAGAAGACAUAUGGGUGACAUUUAAAGUAAAUGGCUCCCGUUGACCCCAAAGGUCUGGGAAUGGAGCUGGAGUGCUUGAAAACUUGCUUUGACGUGAAGGUCAAAGCAUGCCGGCCAGAUAAGGGAACUGGAAUUAUCUGGUCUGUGGGCACCGUUGCUAAAACACUAUUAUAAAGUAAUAUAGGUGAGUGAAUAAUGGCACCUAGAAUUGAUUUUUUGAGACGUGGAGAAUCUGAUGACUCAAAUAGCAAUGUGCGUUGCCAUUUUAACUAAUUUCAACUAAUAGUGCAAAGAAGCAGAGUUCUGUGUGUCCGAUUGCAUUAUGGAGACAGAACAGCCAGCAAGCUGCUGUAUUAUCUCUGGGCAAGAAGCCAAUUAUGGAGGGGUAACAGCAGUCUUGUCUGAAUUAAACUAAUGUUUAAAGUUGUUGUAAACAUGACCACCACUUCUGAACCACAAAUUCUAGCAUGUGCAGUUGACAUUGAAUUGGCACAUGAUUAAGUAGUGAGUAAAUUGACAAAAGGUUCAGAAGGGGGGUGGUUUGAAUUAUUGUGUUAUUAUUAUUCUUAUUUUUCUCUCAGGAAUGAUGAAAUUACAAGACUUAGACGAGAGAGAGAAAUGGGCCAGGAAAAUACAACGCUGGCGACAAGCCUGUAUACCACAACCUUGUCUGACGGUGGUUGGGCUUAGUAGGAGUAGAGAUAAAGAGGACAAACAAGUGCUCAUUGAAAGAGGGAUUAAUCGAAAGACCUUGACCGAACGUAGCACUCCUUUGGUGCAUAAGGUCUGAGACUUUACUUCUGAAAUAAAUGGCAUUUCAACAGAGUGCCACGAAGGGUGAACAGUUGAGUGAUAUACCAAGGAUAACUCUAAGAAUGAUUCUACCAGCAUUGCUGUUUUGUCAGGAAACGGUGACAACCUUUUGGAAAUUCUGGCAGAGAAAUUUGUGGAAUUCCUGGAGAAGGAGGAUUUAACUCUGACUCAGCCCGCCUUCACGCCCCAAGGUGCAAAGAAUCAAACAAGCGGCUCGCACACCAGAAGGUAUGCCUGGAAUGCCAGAUCCCCUCUCUUGGCUUCUGAAGAGGAGGAGGACCCCUGAGUGAGUGAGGACCCCUGGGGGCGUCAGAUUGAGGCUUGUGUACAUGAAAUUACGAACGGACGAUUGUUGAGAGCAAGAUUUGGACACUAUCUUAGCACUGACAAGCAGAGCACAAAGAUUUGGUCACCUGAUACUACUGUAUCUGGAAAUUAGAAAAAAAAAAAGAAAAAAAAGAGUGCAAGGGGAAAGAAAGAAUGCUCGAGUUUGGGUUGAAAACUAUAUGGAUGUGUUUCAUACCAGCUUACUGAUGCAUGAUGGCACUGUGUAUGUGAUGCUUGCAAAAUAUAACAAGUUUAAAAAACAUGAUGAACAGUACUUUAGCUUGAAGAUGUUAGGAUGAAAUCAGCCAGCAAAAUUGCAAAGCAGUGGGUGUUAAUGGAGAUGAUGAUUUUGCAAUUGUAUUGUCUUGAUUAAUGCUUAAUUUGCUAUAAACAGAUGUACUGUAACCUAAGUAGUAAUAAUGCAUUUGCUUAAGUACAAAGAUGUAACCCUGUGAUUAAUGCUAUAUGGAAAAUGUAUUGUGUAAUUUCACUUACAUUAAGAAAACUGCUUACUUGCAUGAAAUGUAUGUAGUGACUGAUUUAGAGCAGAAACACUUAUAUAUUAGAAAUAGUUUUUAUGAUAAAUGGACAAUAUAGUAUUUAAGGUGUAUUUCACCUGACGGUUAAGAGGAAAAAGAAGAGGAAAAGGGCUAAAGCAAUGCGACGUAAACAACUGAAAGCCUCGGCAGAGGAGUUGGCAGCACUCCAGGUGAUGACAUCAGAAGAACCAGCGUUCGACGUCUGGGUAUAAAAGACUGAGAGAGAGACUCAACCGACGGAUACUGAACAAGCACAGUAUCCCUCGACCCCUGAUACCAGCUGAUUAUACCUUGAUUUUGUAACUUUACUAUUGUACUUUGAUAUAACUUUUGUUAAUUUUAAUAAAACUUGUAAUUUAUUAUUGA